AGCGAACGCUAGCGGCGGGCCUAACACAUGCAAGUCGAGCGCAUACCUUCGGGUAUGAGCGGCGGACGGGUGAGUAACGCGUAGGUCAUCUACCCUUUGGUGGGGAGUAACCCAACGGGAAACGUUAGGGGCGUAAUACCGCACGAGGUCUACGGAUCAAAGACCUUCGGGCGCCAGAGGAUGAGCCUGCGUCGCAUCACCUAGUUGGCGGGGUAACGGGCCCACCAAGGGGACGGAUGCGUAGCUGGUCUGAGAGGAUGAUCAGCCACACUGGGACUGAGACACGGCCCAGACUCCUACGGGAGGCAGCAGUGGGGAAGUUUUGGUACAAUGGGGGGCGAACCCUGAUCCAGCCAUGCCGCGUGAGUGAAGAAGG
Molecule: ribosomal RNA, 376 nt
Filed under: uncultured bacterium
Lineage: Bacteria
Description: bacterial SSU rRNA
Rfam family: Bacterial small subunit ribosomal RNA
Source: RNAcentral